GACGGAGGAUGCAAGUGUUAUCCGGAAUCACUGGGCGUAAAGCGUCUGUAGGUGGUUUAAUAAGUCAACUGUUAAAUCUUGAGGCUCAACCUCAAAAUCGCAGUCGAAACUAUUAGGCUAGAGUAUAGUAGGGGUAAAGGGAAUUUCCAGUGGAGCGGUGAAAUGCGUAGAGAUUGGAAGGAACAUCAGUGGCGAAAGCGACUUCCUGGACCAGUACCGACGUUCAGGCACGAAAGCGUGGGGAGCAAACAGG
This 253-nucleotide ribosomal RNA is filed under the name uncultured bacterium. RNAcentral's name for it is "partial 16S ribosomal RNA". It matches the Rfam family "Bacterial small subunit ribosomal RNA", at positions 524 to 776 of the family's 1533-position model. The record is from RNAcentral.